GACGAACGCUGGCGGCGUGCUUAACACAUGCAAGUCGAACGAUGAAGAAGAGAAACGCGAACUUCGGUUCAAAUUUCACUUCGGAUUAGUGGCAGACGGGUGAGUAACGCGUGAGCAACCUACCUCUUACAAAGGGAUAGCCUCGGGAAACCGUGAUUAAUACCAUAUGACACAUUCAUAAGGCAUCUUAAGAAUGUUAAAGCUACGGCGGUAAGAGAUGGGCUCGCGUCCCAUUAGCUAGUUGGUGAGGUAACGGCCCACCAAGGCGACGAUGGGUAACCGGCCUGAGAGGGUGAACGGUCACAUUGGAACUGAGACACGGUUCAAACUCCUACGGGAGGCAGCAGUGGGGAAUAUUGCACAAUGGAGGGAACUCUGAUGCAGCGACGCCGCGUGAGCGAUGAAGGAAUUCGUUUCGUAAAGCUCUGUUCUAUGGGAAGAAAAGGACUGUACCAUAGGAGAAAGCCCCGGCUAAAUACGUG
This 482-nucleotide ribosomal RNA is filed under the name uncultured bacterium. RNAcentral's name for it is "partial 16S ribosomal RNA". It matches the Rfam family "Bacterial small subunit ribosomal RNA", at positions 28 to 507 of the family's 1533-position model. The record is from RNAcentral.